RNAcentral lists this ribosomal RNA (808 nucleotides) under marine metagenome. Its description in RNAcentral is "bacterial SSU rRNA". It matches the Rfam family "Bacterial small subunit ribosomal RNA", at positions 8 to 809 of the family's 1533-position model. The record is from RNAcentral.
AGAGUUUGAUCCUGGCUCAGGAUGAACGCUAGCGGCAGGCUUAACACAUGCAAGUCGAGGGGUAACAGAGAGUGCUUGCACUCUGCUGACGACCGGCGCACGGGUGAGUAACGCGUAUGCAACCUACCUUUUACAGGGGAAUAGCCCAGAGAAAUUUGGAUUAAUACCCCAUAUUAUUUUUAAUUCGCAUGAAUUAGAGAUGAAAGUUUCGACGGUAAAAGAUGGGCAUGCGUCCUAUUAGUUUGUUGGUGAGGUAAUGGCUUACCAAGACUUCGAUAGGUAGGGGCCCUGAGAGGGGGACCCCCCACACUGGUACUGAGACACGGACCAGACUCCUACGGGAGGCAGCAGUGAGGAAUAUUGGACAAUGGAGGAAACUCUGAUCCAGCCAUGCCGCGUGCAGGAUGAAUGCCCUAUGGGUUGUAAACUGCUUUUAUACAGGAAGAAACAUUUCCACGUGUGGAAACUUGACGGUACUGUAAGAAUAAGGAUCGGCUAACUCCGUGCCAGCAGCCGCGGUAAUACGGAGGAUCCAAGCGUUAUCCGGAAUUAUUGGGUUUAAAGGGUCCGUAGGUGGUUAUUUAAGUCAGAGGUGAAAUCCUGCCGCUUAACGGUAGAACUGCCUUUGAUACUGAUUAACUUGAGUUAUUGUGAAGUAGUUAGAAUAUGUAGUGUAGCGGUGAAAUGCAUAGAUAUUACAUAGAAUACCGAUUGCGAAGGCAGAUUACUAACAAUAUACUGACACUGAGGGACGAAAGCGUGGGUAGCGAACAGGAUUAGAUACCCUGGUAGUCCACGCCGUAAACGA